Molecule: ribosomal RNA, 253 nt
Filed under: uncultured bacterium
Lineage: Bacteria
Description: partial 16S ribosomal RNA
Rfam family: Bacterial small subunit ribosomal RNA
Source: RNAcentral
UACGUAGGGUGCGAGCGUUAAUCGGAAUUACUGGGCGUAAAGCGUGCGCAGGCGGUUUUGUAAGGCAGGUGUGAAAUCCCCGGGCUUAACCUGGGAACUGCACUUGUGACUGCAAGGCUGGAGUACGGCAGAGGGGGAUGGAAUUCCGCGUGUAGCAGUGAAAUGCGUAGAUAUGCGGAGGAACACCGAUGGCGAAGGAAGUCCCCUGGGCCUGUACUGACGGUCAUGCACGAAAGCGUGGGGAGCAAACAGG